Molecule: non-coding RNA, 103 nt
Filed under: Rhinopithecus bieti (black snub-nosed monkey)
Lineage: Eukaryota; Metazoa; Chordata; Mammalia; Primates; Cercopithecidae
Source: RNAcentral
CCCUCCCCUGAAAGUAGUGAAUUAUCUCAAUUGAUUGUUCAGUCACAGGCAGAACUCCUUGCUCUACUCUUUCUCCCCCUCACUAGUGAACUUGGCAAGUUUU